Hypanus sabinus (Atlantic stingray) is the source of this 5858-nucleotide RNA transcript. It is a transcript of the gene named endothelin 1, with no coding region annotated. Lineage: Eukaryota; Metazoa; Chordata; Chondrichthyes; Myliobatiformes; Dasyatidae. The record is from RefSeq and is a predicted model, not a curated record. The transcript is spliced from 5 exons.
ACCUCUUCCUACAAAGUUCAACAAAAAUUUCAAAGUCGCAAUCCUCGAUGACGAGUUGUAUGAGCUUCAGAGUUCCGGACUGGGACUGUCUACCAUUUGGUUGGUGGAGAAUUAGUUGUGUCCCAUGCCAGCGACCGAGGGGUAGUAGGGUCUAAAGUGAACAGGUUGUCCAUGUGCCCUCUGAGUUUACAACUCCAGCACACUUGCGAGCGAAAGCUUUUGAUUGGUUCCUGGACCUUCGCCGAAGCGCGCGUGCCGUAUUAUUCAGUGGAGUCCCCCAAGAAGAACGCAGAAAGGGCAAGGAAAAGAAUGCUGGCCUCGCCCAGUAUGUGGAGGGGUUUAUUUUGUAGGCAGCGUGCUGCUUAUCAGAGCAUGCAGUUCCUUUUGGGUGACUAAUAACAUUGUCUUGGGAUAAAAGCACAUUGAGCUGUUUACAGGCGAGGACGGAAUAUAUAAAAGGACUGCUCUGCUGUGUGGCAGUACAGAGAGCAGCGUGGCCGAGGUAAAACACACAGCUCUUCUCAACUGCACUCGGGACUGAUAACUAACCUCAGCUCACAGCUCUGUGCAUUCAACCUUGAACUGUAGAGGGGUACUCUUUAAUAUCCUAAAGUAAAGGACGAGAAAAACUGCCCACCUUGAAGAUCUUGUUUUAAUUUCGAACAUGGCGUUUAACGUAUUACUUUCCCUGCUAACACUGGUGUCGGGACUACCCUUUGCAACAGGGUCCCCGCUAUCGGAAGGUGUAGUGACUUUUUCUCCCAUCUCCACCAUCGGCCGGACUUCACCUAUCCCCCGACGGCUUUUCCGUUCCAAGCGCUGUUCUUGCUCAUCUCUCUUGGACAAAGAAUGCAUCUACUUCUGUCAUUUGGACGUCAUUUGGAUUAACACUCCUGAGCAGAUUGUUCCCUAUGGACUCGACAGUUCUCGGGUCAAGCGGUCUGCAAAACACAACUUGGCAGAAAUGGUAAGGUCAAGGACAAGAUGUGAGUGCAGCAGUCAAGAGGAUGGUGUAUGUCAGCAGUUCUGCGAAGAUGGCCCGCAGGUAGCCAGGUUGAAGCCUGGCAGCAGCAAGCAUUUACCUACAUCGACAAAAUGGAUAAACAGAAUGAGGAAAGCAAGAAAAGAAGACAAGAAUAUACCAUUUUCUAUGGGUGGCUCUGUGACACACUGCAGGGACUGCAAACGUUGACAGGCUGUUAGUUAACAGAGGGAAAGAAAACAGCACGUGUUGGCUGCUACCACAGAACAGAUUACUAUUCUGUUCUGGCAAGGGACGAGGGAUUUACACUUCAUUGAGGAGCUUGUCAAAACUGGUGGAGUCUGAGCUGUAGCCUGGCCUUAUAACAAAAAGUACUGAACAGCAGAUUGGGAACUAUAGCAUGGCAUUUUCAAAAUGAAGCAAGCUUGAUUUAAAGUAAGCUAUGAUGGACAGUUCAGAAAUUGACAUUCCUAAACUGCAGCCUAGGUUUAUACCUACCAAAGGAGACUGGCCAAUUCUAGGAAGUUCAUGAAGAGAUGCUCUUUUGUAAAAAGUUAAAAACCAAUAUCAACGAAGAAUCAAUCUAUGAUGAUCUCAAAAUGUAUUCCAUUUAAGAACAUGAUUUCUUCUGCAACAGAUGGAGUACCGUAUGUGACAGGUCACCAUACUGGUUUAGUGACAUUUAUAAAAAAGAAAUUCCAAGUCUGUUUACAAUCAGUUGUGUAAUUCAUCGUAAACAUCUCAUAGUGAAAAAUUCAGCUAGCGACUUUUUUCAAGCAUGACUCUUGUAAUAUACGCUGUCCACAAAAUUAAAGCUCAUCUACUAAAUAGCAGAAUAUUCCACCAGUUAUGCCAAGAUAAUGAUGAAGUGUUUGAAUGCUUGCUUCUUCACACUGAAGUGCAUUGGCUGUCAAAAGGCUGCUGCUUAUAAUGUUUCUUUGAUCUUUUUAACACUGUGAUUGAAUUUUUGGUCAAAUUCAACAAGAGCUUGGGAAACAAGAUUGAACUUCUACGUGGUUAUGUGGCAUACCUAGCUGAUUUGAAUGACAAGAUGAACAUUCUAAAUAUGAAACUCCAGGAUGAGAAUUUCAAUUUAAUGCAGGCAAAAAGUGCAGUGUCCACUUUUAUCAGAAAAUUAGAAAUACAUAAGCAAAACAUUGGGAGAAGAAUGUUCUCACAGUUCCCUGCAUGGAAAGUAUGACACUCUCUUUCACAGAUGGUGAUUUGCAAGAGUACUGCUUACACCUGCAGUUACUGAAGAAGGAUUUCCAGAACGAUUUCAAGGAAUUGAAUAAUCUGGAAAUUCUGUACUGCAAAAUUAACCCAUUUCUAUGCAAGGUGGAGAGCUUGCAAGAAGAAAUGAUCAAAACUCAAUGAUGAAGAAGCAAAAAUGCUUUUUAAAAAUGUCAGCUCUUGUGGCAACACUGUCAUACGAAGUUUCUUAGUAUUUAGAGAGGAGCCAAACUGCUCUUCAGUGCAUUUCCAUCCUCCUAAUUUGUUGAAAGAAGCUUCAGUGCAGUGAACCACAUACUCACAAAAAACAGAAACUGCUUGGACAUUGUUACGCGCAGGGACUUUACGGCUUUUGCUGUCACAACUUGAACCAGAUAUUUUGAAUAAUUGAAGUCAGCAUCCAACAACCACUCAAAAUAAUUUCCUGCUCGGAAUCAAUAAAGUGCUUAUUAUUAAUAUUAUUAUUAUUAUUAUUUCAACUCUUGCUAAAAACCAUCAAGCUCAAGGAUCACAUUGAAGCUGCUGUACAGUGCACAGAUGAGCUUGACCUCCUGAGUGAAUCCAGCAGCUGCUGUUUUUACUUCAGAUUUCCAGCAUCUACAAUUGUCUUGAUCUUCAGUUGUUGAAUGUUGCAUGUGAGCUGAGAUCCUAUUGGUGAAGAGAGAAAGGCUUAACUCAAUUUGAGUCUUUGUGGAUUCAAAAUACUCACUGCUUGUUCCAUUUUAAAACUUCCUAUUGUAACUAUUUUAUGUUACCUCUUUCUCAUCUCCCAGUUUUCUUUUUGUUUUAUUAUAUCUUUCCUUCACCCAGUAGAGAGAAUAGAGUGAGAUGAGUAAAGUGGAGUCAGUUUAAAGACUGUUAUUUUGGUAUAAGAAGUAUCAAGCUGAAAUUAGUAGAUGUUACAAAACUUGGAAAUGAGGGAAAUGGGUUUGAGAAGGACCUAGAAUGUGUGGUUAACACAGGCAUGGGCAUUGAAAUUUAUUGCAAGCACUGUUAAUGUGCACAGGUGCUCUUUGGGAACAGGAAUCAGUAAAAUCUAUAUGGUUCUGUGUUCUGACAAAGGAACAGCAAACUGAAAUAAUAACUCUGUCUCACUUCCACAGAUGCUGUCUGAACUUCUGUUAUUCUUAGCACUUUUGUUUUCUUUCAACUUUCCAGCAUUCUUCAGUCUUUUGACUUCUAGAGAGAGUUUUCACAGUUGCUGCUCUUCCAAGAAUGCUCACAGUGAAGAAACUCAGCAAGAAUUCCACUCUGUUUAUUUUCACCUUCAUUUACAAAUGUUUCUACUUCCUGUAUGUUAAUCUCCCAGAGGAUGGAAUAAAAUGCAAAAUCUCCAAGUCAGCCAAAGAUCUGAAAAUAGAUUGGAGGACUGGUUGUGAAGAUAACAUUGUGAUUCUGGGACAGGAUAUAACCAGAUUGAAUGACUGAAUGAUACAAAUAGAGUUCAAUGUGUAAAGGUGGGAGGCUAUGCACUUAGGUAAGAAGAAUCAGAAGGUAGAUUAUUAUCUAAAUGGAGAGAAAGUGUAAAUGAAUGAUACCUAAAGACACCGAGGUGUUCCAGUGCUUGAAGUGCAAAGAGGUUUACAGGCAGGUUCAAUAAGUAGUUAAGAAUGCAAAAGGAGAUUUCAGAAUCAAGUUUAUUUUCACUGAUGCAUGUCAUUAAAUUUGUUGCUUUGUGACAGUGAUAUACUGCAAGACAAAAAACUUUAUUAUAAGUUAUAACUAAAUAAUGCAGUAUUGUGAGGAGUCCGAUAGUGUUCAGUUAUCUGGUGUGGUUGCUACGUAGUCUCCUCCCUGAAGGUAGCGGGACAAAUAAUUCAGUUAUCUGAUGGUGAAGGGGAAGAAGCUGUUCUUAGAACAAUGAGUGUGGGUCUUCAUGCUCUUGUGGUAGUAAUGAGAAAAGGUUAUUUAGACAACAUCCACAGCCCUACAUUCAUCAAUCUCUGACACCAUUUAAACACAUAAUUUAUUACUCAAUUAAAUAAUAGUUUGUCUUUUUUAUACAUUUUUAACUAUUCCCAUGAAACCAGCCAAUUAGGGUAGCCGCUAAAUUGGGCCACAAUGUACUGGUCCCAAUAUGUCCCAAUACAUCAGAAUCUACUGUACACAGUAUAUCGAGCCCAAAUGCAAGUAAUCUGACCUAACCAGUGUGUGACAGCUUCUAAACAACUAUAAACUUCUUGUCUUACCUUCAUCUAAAAACCAGUCCCUUGCUCUACUUCUUCAUGUGCUUGACCCAUCUCCUCUUGAGCACAUAAAAAUGUUCUCUCUGCUUCUACUCCAUCAAAUCCUUUCAGAGACUUAUUAAGCCACCACUGAUGGACACAGACCCAGACCAGAAAUAAGAUGCAUAAUUUUCAUCUUGGAUGCUUGGGUCCAGAACAGAGUACCUGAAGGCGCAGUGGAACUUUCAAGAAGUAUAGCAGGUGUGACUAAGAUGACUUGUGCAAAAUUUUUGUUUGCAUGUGGCAUACAGUGCUACUCCUUGAUUCCAGACCCUCCCCAUUAUUAUCUUUACUGCCAAAUGAAACAAUGAAUGCCCUUUUUACAACCUAAGAGCAGUAAGAUAUUUUCACAGGAAUUGUCUCAUGCUGGAUUGGUGUCAGCUAGGUGAGCAGCAAAAUAGAGAGCCUACAGAGAGAAGGUGGAAGAGCUCAAGGCCUCGUGCCAGGCAAAUAACCUUUUCCUUAAUGUUAAUAAAAGAAAGGAGUUGGUUAUUGAUGGUUGCACAGCUCAAAUCGCUCUUUACACUGGCAACACAAAUUAUAAGCAGUUUCAAACUUCUGGGAGUGCACAUCACACACAACCUCUCAUGGUUCUAGAACACAUUCUAUAUAGUCAAGAAAAUUCACCAAUGCCUCUACUUCCUGAGGAUGCUAAAGAAAGUUGGACUUUGCACAUUCAUACUUACAUAAUUCUACAGAUGUGCAGUAGAAAGCAUCCCAACAAGCUGCAUCACUGCUUGGUAUGGAAACAGCACAGGAAGACUUUACAAUGGGUAGUCAAAACUGCUCAACGUGUCACCACACCAGCCUACCCACCAUCAAGGACAUAUACGGAAAAGGGCCAGCAACAUCAUGAAGGAUCCCACCCACUCUGCUCAUGGACUGUUUGCCCACUCUCAUCAGGGAGGAGGCUACGUAGCAUCCACAUCAAGAUCACCAGACUCAAAAACAAUUACUUUCCCCAGAAAUAAGGCUGAUCAACACCUUCACCCACUUACUCCACCACUAAUUUAUUGUUUCCUGUCACUCAUUUAUGUACAGUCUUUAUGGACAUACACUCAAUCUACAGUAUGUAUAGAAGCUAUCUUCUCUAUUGAUAUUUAUUGUGUUUUUAUUAUUAUUAUUGUAUUCUUUAUCCUUUGUGUUGCUGCUUGUGAUGCAUCGGAUCUGGAGUAACAAUUAUUUCAUUCUACUUUACACUUGUGUACAGAAAAUGACGUUAAACAAUCUUGAAUCUUGAGUUAGACAGUUGCAAGAUAUGUGACAGUUUAUUUUCAAGAUAUUUUCAAAUCCUUGCAGAUCUUUUGUACACAUCAAUAUUUGGGUAGUAAACAGUUAUACUAAUAAUGUUAUUUAGAAAUUAUGUUAUAAAUCAAUUGUCUUUUUAAAAGAUGAAUAUUAAUAAUUUUGGAACAGGU